AAGUCGUAACAAGGUCUCCGUUGGUGAACCAGCGGAGGGAUCAUUACAGAGUUGCAAAACUCCCAACCAUUGUGAACCUACCUCACCGUUGCUUCGGCGGGUGGCCCAGGGCAACCCAGGCCGCGCCGGCCCCUCCUUCAUGGGCCGGCAAACCCGUCAGAGGACCGAAACUCUUCGUCAUCAGUGGCCUCUCUGAGUAACUUAUACAAUAAGUCAAAACUUUCAACAACGGAUCUCUUGGUUCUG
This 246-nucleotide unclassified non-coding RNA is filed under the name fungal sp. RNAcentral describes it as "partial internal transcribed spacer region". The stretch from base 1 to 46 matches the Rfam family "Eukaryotic small subunit ribosomal RNA", at positions 1786 to 1831 of the family's 1831-position model. The record is from RNAcentral. Lineage: Eukaryota; Fungi.